GUGUCAGCCGCCGCGGUAAGACGAAGGUUGCGAGCGUUGUUCGGAAUCACUGGGCUUAAAGCGCAUGUAGGUGGACCAGAAAGUAGUUUGUGAAAUCCCCCGGCUUAACCGGGGAAUUGCUUGCUAAACUGCUGGUCUUGAGGCAAGUAGGGGUGCAUGGAACUCUUGGUGGAGCGGUGGAAUGCGUAGAUAUCAAGAGGAACGCCAGAGGUGAAAACGGUGCACUGGGCUUGUUCUGACACUGAGAUGCGAAAGCGUGGGGAGCAAACGGGAUUAGAUACCCCUGUAGUCC
Molecule: ribosomal RNA, 292 nt
Filed under: uncultured bacterium
Lineage: Bacteria
Description: partial 16S ribosomal RNA
Rfam family: Bacterial small subunit ribosomal RNA
Source: RNAcentral